UAGGGAAUCUUCGGCAAUGGGGGCAACCCUGACCGAGCAACGCCGCGUGAGUGAAGAAGGUUUUCGAAUCGUAAAGCUCUGUUGUAAAGUCAAGAACGGGUGUGAGAGUGGAAAGUUCACACUGUGACGGUAGCUUACCAGAAAGGGACGGCUAACUACGUGCCAGCAGCCGCGGUAAUACGUAGGUCCCGAGCGUUGUCCGGAUUUAUUGGGCGUAAAGCGAGCGCAGGCGGUUUGAUAAGUCUGAAGUUAAAGGCUGUGGCUCAACCAUAGUUCGCUUUGGAAACUGUCAAACUUGAGUGCAGAAGGGGAGAGUGGAAUUCCAUGUGUAGCGGUGAAAUGCGUAGAUAUAUGGAGGAACACCGGUGGCGAAAGCGGCUCUCUGGUCUGUAACUGACGCUGAGGCUCGAAAGCGUGGGGAGCGAACAGGAUUAGAUACCCUGGUAGUCCACGCCGUAAACGAUGAGUGCUAGGUGUUGGAUCCUUUCCGGGAUUCAGUGCCGCAGCUAACGCAUUAAGCACUCCGCCUGGGGGAGUACGACCGCAAGGUUGAAACGUCUAAAGUGAAUU
RNAcentral lists this ribosomal RNA (570 nucleotides) under uncultured bacterium. RNAcentral's name for it is "partial 16S ribosomal RNA". It matches the Rfam family "Bacterial small subunit ribosomal RNA", at positions 355 to 911 of the family's 1533-position model. The record is from RNAcentral.